Perca flavescens (yellow perch) is the source of this 278-nucleotide long non-coding RNA. RefSeq lists it as uncharacterized. The transcript has 2 exons. The record is from RefSeq and is a predicted model, not a curated record. Lineage: Eukaryota; Metazoa; Chordata; Actinopteri; Perciformes; Percidae.
CACACACACACACACACAAGAUGGCGGACCACCGCAGCUGCAGCGUCUCCUGCUAAAACUUCUUCCGACUUUGUUGAACUGUUUUCCCGCUCUGAGCGGAGACAUGAGCGGCCUCCGCCGCCUCUGACGGCUGUGACGGUUGUAACGGUUUAACGUCUGAAGGACUUCGGUCGUUUUCAGGUCAGUCGUGGCUCGUCCAACAUGGCGGCGGCGUCAUAUGACCAGCUGCUGAGACAGGUGGAGGUGUUAAAGAUGGAGAACUCGAACCUACGACAGGA